GACGAACGCUGGCGGCGUGCCUAAUACAUGCAAGUAGAACGCACAGUUUAUACCGUAGCUUGCUACACCAUAGACUGUGAGUUGCGAACGGGUGAGUAACGCGUAGGUAACCUGCCUGGUAGCGGGGGAUAACUAUUGGAAACGAUAGCUAAUACCGCAUAAUAUUGAUUAUUGCAUGAUAAUUAAUUGAAAGGUGCAAUUGCACCACUACCAGAUGGACCUGCGUUGUAUUAGCUAGUAGGUGAGGUAACGGCUCACCUAGGCGACGAUACAUAGCCGACCUGGGAAGGUGAUCGGCCAAACUGGGACUGAGACACGGCCCAGACUCCUACGGGAGGCAGCAGUAGGGAAUCUUCGGCAAUGGACGAAAGUCUGAACGAGCAACGCCGCGUGAGUGAAGAAGGUUUUCGGAUCGUAAAGCUCUGUUGUAAGAGAAGAACGGGUGUGAGAGUGGAAAGUUCACACUGUGACGGUAUCUUACCAGAAAGGGACGGCUAACUACGUG
This 505-nucleotide ribosomal RNA is filed under the name uncultured bacterium. RNAcentral's name for it is "partial 16S ribosomal RNA". It matches the Rfam family "Bacterial small subunit ribosomal RNA", at positions 28 to 507 of the family's 1533-position model. The record is from RNAcentral.